AUUGAACGCUGGCGGCAGGCCUAACACAUGCAAGUCGAGCGGAUGACGGGAGCUUGCUCCUUGAUUCAGCGGCGGACGGGUGAGUAAUGCCUAGGAUUCUGCCUGGUAGUGGGGGGCAACGUUUCGAAAGGAACGCUAAUACCGCAUACGUCCUACGGGAGAAAGCAGGGGACCUUCGGGCCUUGCGCUAUCAGAUGAGCCUAGGUCGGAUUAGCUAGUUGGUGGGGUAAUGGCUCACCAAGGCGACGAUCCGUAACUGGUCUGAGAGGAUGAUCAGUCACACUGGAACUGAGACACGGUCCAGACUCCUACGGGAGGCAGCAGUGGGGAAUAUUGGACAAUGGGCGAAAGCCUGAUCCAGCCAUGCCGCGUGUGUGAAGAAGGUCUUCGGAUUGUAAAGUACUUUAAGUUGGGAGGAAGGGCAGUAAGCUAAUACCUUGCUGUUUUGACGUUACCGACAGAAUAAGCACCGGCUAACUCUGUGCCAGCCGCCGCGGUAA
Molecule: ribosomal RNA, 500 nt
Filed under: uncultured bacterium
Lineage: Bacteria
Description: partial 16S ribosomal RNA
Rfam family: Bacterial small subunit ribosomal RNA
Source: RNAcentral